AUGCACCUGGCAUGUCACCAAAUGAAAGCAGUCAGCUCGGAAAUCCUCAGUGGAACAACAGCAACAUCGAUCCUACAAACUCAGGAAACAAGAGUGGGCUUAGAAAAGCCAAAGACCAACACAAGGGACCCUAAGUCUCUGGAUUAAACCGAGGCUGAAAUAAUAAAGCUUUUACAGCCUUAAACACAGAGCCAUGAACAACAUCACAGCUCUGAUCCAAAACCUGUUCUUGGGCAGAUACUAGCCAUAGUUAUAUUCUUUCUGUCAAACUCCAUGUUCAGAUACACAACAAUACAAGCAUCAUUUAGCUGAAGAGUUUAUGGAAAUGACUCUCAUUGAUAUAUGGAGAUGAGAGACAUGCGGAACAACAAAUUUGAGCACAAGUGAACUCACAGAUGCCAUAAGAGGUGACUUCAUUAUCAUAACCUAUUAGUUUUUCUUUGCACAUAAUUCACAGAGAGUGUAAACCAGAUUUGAAAAGUGGAUAUUUAUGCAGUCACCAUAAGAAGAUUACCUGAGAGAUGUUUAUAUCUGCAUCCACAUUGUAUAUUAAGGAAGCAAUUUGAUUGAAUUUGGCAAAGUCCAAAGCUCAUGUGUUUUGAAACCUGCUACACUCACUGCUGUGAUUUUAUGGUUUUGUCGUGAAUUAAUAGCAACGUGGCGCCAUCUAGUGGAAAACACGAAUAAGAGCACUUUGGCAACACAAGAACCAGUUCAUUCUGCCAUUAUUUACACCAUAGUGUUGUUCCAAAACACACACACACACACACACAUAUAUAUAUAUAUAUAUCCUUUCUAGUGGAACACAAUAGAAGAAAUUGUUGAGAAUCUUAACAUAGCAUAGAGAGACGUUAAAUAAUUUGUGCUCUUUUCGUAAGACAAUUAAAUCAUUUAGAGAUGUAGGGUUCAUAAAGGUCAUAUAGCCUUAGUCUAUCUUACUGAGCACAGUGUCUACAUUUAUGUAUGCAUGUAUGUAUUUAUUUUACAGCAGGAGCAGUAUAUGGUACAAAAUUUUGCUUCACUUUGAGACAUA
Molecule: long non-coding RNA, 1033 nt
Organism: Cyprinus carpio carpio
Lineage: Eukaryota; Metazoa; Chordata; Actinopteri; Cypriniformes; Cyprinidae
Source: Ensembl